GAUGAACGCUGGCGGCGUGCCUAAUACAUGCAAGUCGAGCGAACAGACGAGGAGCUUGCUUCUCUGACGUUAGCGGCGGACGGGUGAGUAACACGUGGAUAACCUACCUAUAAGACUGGGAUAACUUCGGGAAACCGGAGCUAAUACCGGAUAAUAUUUUGAACCGCAUGGUUCAAAAGUAAAAGACGGUUUUGCUGUCACUUAUAGAUGGAUCCGCGCUGCAUUAGCUAGUUGGUAAGGUAACGGCUUACCAAGGCAACGAUGCAUAGCCGACCUGAGAGGGUGAUCGGCCACACUGGAACUGAGACACGGUCCAGACUCCUACGGGAGGCAGCAGUAGGGAAUCUUCCGCAAUGGGCGAAAGCCUGACGGAGCAACGCCGCGUGAGUGAUGAAGGUCUUCGGAUCGUAAAACUCUGUUAUUAGGGAAGAACAUAUGUGUAAGUAACUGUGCACAUCUUGACGGUACCUAAUCAGAAAGCCACGGCUAACUACGUG
RNAcentral lists this ribosomal RNA (497 nucleotides) under uncultured bacterium. Its description in RNAcentral is "partial 16S ribosomal RNA". It matches the Rfam family "Bacterial small subunit ribosomal RNA", at positions 28 to 507 of the family's 1533-position model. The record is from RNAcentral.